UUUAAAGUCUGACCUGCCCAAUGAGAUUUGAAUGGCCGCGGUAUCUUGACUGUGCAAAGGUAGCAUAAUAAUUAGUUUUUUNAUUGGANNCUGGUAUGAAUGGUUGGACGAGAAAAAAGCUGUCUCUAUUUAAUUUAAUUAGNAUUUUAUUUUUAAGUAAAAUAGCUUAAAUUUUUUUAAAAGACGAGAAGACCCUAUAGAGUUUUAUAUAAUUUAUAUAUUAANAUUUGAAGNAUUAAUAUUUUAUUUUAUANAUUAUAUUUGGUUGGGGUGACUAAAAAAUUUAAAUAGCUUUUUUUAAAAAUUAAACAUUAAUUUAUGAAUAUUUGAUCCAUUAUUUAUGAUUAAAAGAUUAAAUUACCUUAGGGAUAACAGCGUAAUUUUUUUG
RNAcentral lists this ribosomal RNA (388 nucleotides) under Sericotrupes niger. Its description in RNAcentral is "partial 16S ribosomal RNA". The record is from RNAcentral. Lineage: Eukaryota; Metazoa; Arthropoda; Insecta; Coleoptera; Geotrupidae.